Molecule: transfer RNA, 74 nt
Filed under: Herposiphonia versicolor
Lineage: Eukaryota; Rhodophyta; Florideophyceae; Ceramiales; Rhodomelaceae
Description: tRNA-His
Rfam family: tRNA
About the family: Transfer RNA (tRNA) molecules are approximately 80 nucleotides in length.
Source: RNAcentral
GCGAAGAGAGCUAGGAAGGUUAAGUUUUAGUUUGUGAUUCUAAGGUACAUGGGUUCGAGUCCCAUUCUUCGCCC